CUCUUAGAUGUUCUGGGCCGCACGCGCGCUACACUGAUGCAUUCAACGAGCCUAUCCUUGACCGACAGGUCCGGGUAAUCUUUGAAUCUGCAUCGUGACGGGGAUAGAUUAUUGCAAUUAUUAAUCUUCAACGAGGAAUGCCUAGUAGGCGCAAGUCAUCAGCUUGCGUCGAUUACGUCCCUGCCCUUUGUACACACCGCCCGUCGCUCCUACCGAUUGGGUGUGCUGGUGAAAUGUUCGGAUCGGCCGUUUGUCGCGGUUUCCGCGUCAUGUGGCUGAGAAGUUCAUUAAACCCUCCCACCUAGAGGAAGGAGAAGUCGUAACA
RNAcentral lists this ribosomal RNA (325 nucleotides) under uncultured eukaryote. RNAcentral's name for it is "partial 18S ribosomal RNA". It matches the Rfam family "Eukaryotic small subunit ribosomal RNA", at positions 1470 to 1796 of the family's 1831-position model. The record is from RNAcentral.